GAUGAACGCUGGCGGCGUGCCUAAUACAUGCAAGUCGAGCGAAGCGGGGACGGGUGAGUAACACGUGGAUAACCUCCUAUAAGACUGGGAUCACUUCGGGAAACCGGAGCUAAACCGGAUACUUAUAGAUGGUUCAGCGCUGAAUUAGCUAGUUGGUAAGGUAACGGCUUACCAAGGCCACGAUGCAUAGACGACCUGAGAGGGUGAACGGCCACACUGGAACUGAGACACGGUCCAGACUCCUACGGGUGACAGCAGUGGGGAAUCUUCCGCAAUGGGCGAAAGCCUGACGGAGAAACGCCGAGUAAGUGAUGAAGAUAUUAGGGUCGUAAAGCUCUGUUAGUAGGAAAGCAGUACCUAGUCAAAAAGCCGCGGCUAACUACGGGCCAGCAGCCGCGGUAAUUC
This 405-nucleotide ribosomal RNA is filed under the name uncultured bacterium. RNAcentral's name for it is "partial 16S ribosomal RNA". It matches the Rfam family "Bacterial small subunit ribosomal RNA", at positions 28 to 526 of the family's 1533-position model. The record is from RNAcentral.